Molecule: transfer RNA, 77 nt
Filed under: Oscillospiraceae bacterium
Lineage: Bacteria; Bacillati; Bacillota; Clostridia; Eubacteriales; Oscillospiraceae
Description: tRNA-Arg
Rfam family: tRNA
About the family: Transfer RNA (tRNA) molecules are approximately 80 nucleotides in length.
Source: RNAcentral
GCGCCCGUAGCUCAGCCGGAUAGAGCGUCAGACUCCGACUCUGAAGGCCGCAGGUUCGAAUCCUGUCGGGCGUACCA